RNAcentral lists this ribosomal RNA (2931 nucleotides) under Shigella sonnei. Its description in RNAcentral is "23S ribosomal RNA". It matches the Rfam family "Bacterial large subunit ribosomal RNA". The record is from RNAcentral. Lineage: Bacteria; Pseudomonadati; Pseudomonadota; Gammaproteobacteria; Enterobacterales; Enterobacteriaceae.
GGGUUGUGAGGUUAAGCGACUAAGCGUACACGGUGGAUGCCCUGGCAGUCAGAGGCGAUGAAGGACGUGCUAAUCUGCGAUAAGCGUCGGUAAGGUGAUAUGAACCGUUAUAACCGGCGAUUUCCGAAUGGGGAAACCCAGUGUGAUUCGUCACACUAUCAUUAACUGAAUCCAUAGGUUAAUGAGGCGAACCGGGGGAACUGAAACAUCUAAGUACCCCGAGGAAAAGAAAUCAACCGAGAUUCCCCCAGUAGCGGCGAGCGAACGGGGAGCAGCCCAGAGCCUGAAUCAGUGUGUGUGUUAGUGGAAGCGUCUGGAAAGGCGCGCGAUACAGGGUGACAGCCCCGUACACAAAAAUGCACAUGCUGUGAGCUCGAUGAGUAGGGCGGGACACGUGGUAUCCUGUCUGAAUAUGGGGGGACCAUCCUCCAAGGCUAAAUACUCCUGACUGACCGAUAGUGAACCAGUACCGUGAGGGAAAGGCGAAAAGAACCCCGGCGAGGGGAGUGAAAAAGAACCUGAAACCGUGUACGUACAAGCAGUGGGAGCACGCUUAGGCGUGUGACUGCGUACCUUUUGUAUAAUGGGUCAGCGACUUAUAUUCUGUAGCAAGGUUAACCGAAUAGGGGAGCCGAAGGGAAACCGAGUCUUAACUGGGCGUUAAGUUGCAGGGUAUAGACCCGAAACCCGGUGAUCUAGCCAUGGGCAGGUUGAAGGUUGGGUAACACUAACUGGAGGACCGAACCGACUAAUGUUGAAAAAUUAGCGGAUGACUUGUGGCUGGGGGUGAAAGGCCAAUCAAACCGGGAGAUAGCUGGUUCUCCCCGAAAGCUAUUUAGGUAGCGCCUCGUGAAUUCAUCUCCGGGGGUAGAGCACUGUUUCGGCAAGGGGGUCAUCCCGACUUACCAACCCGAUGCAAACUGCGAAUACCGGAGAAUGUUAUCACGGGAGACACACGGCGGGUGCUAACGUCCGUCGUGAAGAGGGAAACAACCCAGACCGCCAGCUAAGGUCCCAAAGUCAUGGUUAAGUGGGAAACGAUGUGGGAAGGCCCAGACAGCCAGGAUGUUGGCUUAGAAGCAGCCAUCAUUUAAAGAAAGCGUAAUAGCUCACUGGUCGAGUCGGCCUGCGCGGAAGAUGUAACGGGGCUAAACCAUGCACCGAAGCUGCGGCAGCGACGCUUAUGCGUUGUUGGGUAGGGGAGCGUUCUGUAAGCCUGUGAAGGUGUGCUGUGAGGCAUGCUGGAGGUAUCAGAAGUGCGAAUGCUGACAUAAGUAACGAUAAAGCGGGUGAAAAGCCCGCUCGCCGGAAGACCAAGGGUUCCUGUCCAACGUUAAUCGGGGCAGGGUGAGUCGACCCCUAAGGCGAGGCCGAAAGGCGUAGUCGAUGGGAAACAGGUUAAUAUUCCUGUACUUGGUGUUACUGCGAAGGGGGGACGGAGAAGGCUAUGUUGGCCGGGCGACGGUUGUCCCGGUUUAAGCGUGUAGGCUGGUUUUCCAGGCAAAUCCGGAAAAUCAAGGCUGAGGCGUGAUGACGAGGCACUACGGUGCUGAAGCAACAAAUGCCCUGCUUCCAGGAAAAGCCUCUAAGCAUCAGGUAACAUCAAAUCGUACCCCAAACCGACACAGGUGGUCAGGUAGAGAAUACCAAGGCGCUUGAGAGAACUCGGGUGAAGGAACUAGGCAAAAUGGUGCCGUAACUUCGGGAGAAGGCACGCUGAUAUGUAGGUGAAGCGACUUGCUCGUGGAGCUGAAAUCAGUCGAAGAUACCAGCUGGCUGCAACUGUUUAUUAAAAACACAGCACUGUGCAAACACGAAAGUGGACGUAUACGGUGUGACGCCUGCCCGGUGCCGGAAGGUUAAUUGAUGGGGUUAGCGCAAGCGAAGCUCUUGAUCGAAGCCCCGGUAAACGGCGGCCGUAACUAUAACGGUCCUAAGGUAGCGAAAUUCCUUGUCGGGUAAGUUCCGACCUGCACGAAUGGCGUAAUGAUGGCCAGGCUGUCUCCACCCGAGACUCAGUGAAAUUGAACUCGCUGUGAAGAUGCAGUGUACCCGCGGCAAGACGGAAAGACCCCGUGAACCUUUACUAUAGCUUGACACUGAACAUUGAGCCUUGAUGUGUAGGAUAGGUGGGAGGCUUUGAAGUGUGGACGCCAGUCUGCAUGGAGCCGACCUUGAAAUACCACCCUUUAAUGUUUGAUGUUCUAACGUUGACCCGUGAUCCGGGUUGCGGACAGUGUCUGGUGGGUAGUUUGACUGGGGCGGUCUCCUCCUAAAGAGUAACGGAGGAGCACGAAGGUUGGCUAAUCCUGGUCGGACAUCAGGAGGUUAGUGCAAUGGCAUAAGCCAGCUUGACUGCGAGCGUGACGGCGCGAGCAGGUGCGAAAGCAGGUCAUAGUGAUCCGGUGGUUCUGAAUGGAAGGGCCAUCGCUCAACGGAUAAAAGGUACUCCGGGGAUAACAGGCUGAUACCGCCCAAGAGUUCAUAUCGACGGCGGUGUUUGGCACCUCGAUGUCGGCUCAUCACAUCCUGGGGCUGAAGUAGGUCCCAAGGGUAUGGCUGUUCGCCAUUUAAAGUGGUACGCGAGCUGGGUUUAGAACGUCGUGAGACAGUUCGGUCCCUAUCUGCCGUGGGCGCUGGAGAACUGAGGGGGGCUGCUCCUAGUACGAGAGGACCGGAGUGGACGCAUCACUGGUGUUCGGGUUGUCAUGCCAAUGGCACUGCCCGGUAGCUAAAUGCGGAAGAGAUAAGUGCUGAAAGCAUCUAAGCACGAAACUUGCCCCGAGAUGAGUUCUCCCUGACUCCUUGAGAGUCCUGAAGGAACGUUGAAGACGACGACGUUGAUAGGCCGGGUGUGUAAGCGCAGCGAUGCGUUGAGCUAACCGGUACUAAUGAACCGUGAGGCUUAACCUUACAACGCCGAAGGUGUUU